This 1095-nucleotide long non-coding RNA is filed under the name Parus major (Great Tit). RNAcentral describes it as "lncRNA (ENSPMJG00000011026.1)". The record is from RNAcentral. Lineage: Eukaryota; Metazoa; Chordata; Aves; Passeriformes; Paridae.
UGAGGCUAAAAGGUGAAUAGGAUUAUUGUCGCUUUAUUCAGGCCUGGCAAACGGCUUCCAAGGUCACCCGGACGGCAUGGAGCAGCAGCCCCGGCUGCUCAUUCACAGCCAGCCCCUUCUUCCUUUCCUGGGGGGCUGCUCUGUGCACCCCCAGCAGCCUCCCCAUCCGCACGGCCAUGCCCAUGUCCCCUUCGCCUGUGUGUGACCAGUUCCCUCCGCAGUGCUGGAUGCUGGACACCACCCAGAGCAGGACCAGCUCCUCAGCCUGCGGGCACCACACUCCUCCGAAUUUCUGCACCACGGGAGUCGUAUUUGCAAAUUCCCCCCAGUGCUGGGGGAGCCCAGCCAGUGUUUGAGGGUGGGCGGGACAUAGGGAAGAAAUGGUGUGGGAGGAGCUGGCAGAUCCCCCGUGGAGAGCGUGGUGGGGACUGGCGCCUAUGGCCCCAUUGUUUCGGCUUUUCCUGCCCCCCUGCCCAGUACCCCUGGCUGUGCGUGCUCCAGUGGUCCAGCUCAGUCAAGAGCUCGCUCCUGGGAUGGAGAAAGCUGCUGUCGUGCCUCUUUGCCCCAGCUGCCUUGCUGGUUAUCGCCUUCCCAGCCCCUUGGGGUUAUCAAGCAGUUCCAGCUGGGCCGGAGCCGGGACUUGAGGCCCAGCACCCCCUGACCCCACGGACUGGCCGAGAGCCCGGGGCCAAGUGCGUUCCUUGCACCUCGGGGCAGCCCUGGCCAGGGCCGGAGGGGGCUGUGAGGCAGCGGAGCAGCGGCCAGGUCCGGGUGCGCUGCUUUGUGCUGGCAGCGGCCCCGCGGUGUCCGCAGGAGCCAUUGUCUGUGCCGGACUCCCUGCGCUGAGGAAGCGCUGCCCGGUUUCCUUCCCAUACAUCCCGCUGUGCGGGGGACCCGCAGGCGGCCCUGCCUCACCCCGUGUGGCCCCGAGAGCCUCCGGGAACCUCCGCGUGCCUCCGGUCCUGCCCGGGGACCCGCCUGCCCCAGCACCCGCCAGCUCCCCCGUGACUCUGCCCACGGUGCGCCGCGAGGAGCCACAUGGCCUAGGGGGCGUGUGGGUUCCGGUGCUCCCCCCGGUGCUCCCCGCGGUGCGUG